GCAAACUUGGUCAUUUAGAGGAAGUAAAAGUCGUAACAAGGUUUCCGUAGGUGAACCUGCGGAAGGAUCAUCACCAAUCCAAAUUUACAGCACAAUUCUCUAUAUUUCUGGGGGGUUGUGUCUACCUGUUUGUGAAUUAGCAAUAAUGUAACUGGUAUUGGGGGGAUUAUUGGGUUUGUCUAUGCUGUUAUUUAUAACGGCCUGGGUAAACCGACCCCCAUGUCCAAUUAAUGUUAAACUAUUAUUAUUAUAUAUUUUAUACAAGUCUAAUUACAAUUUAUUGUAAAUUAAAUACAACUUGUAGCGAUGGAUCUCUUGGCUCUAGCAUCGAUGAAGAACGCAGC
Molecule: unclassified non-coding RNA, 344 nt
Filed under: uncultured fungus
Lineage: Eukaryota; Fungi
Description: partial contains small subunit ribosomal RNA, internal transcribed spacer 1, and 5.8S ribosomal RNA
Rfam family: Eukaryotic small subunit ribosomal RNA (bases 1-73)
Source: RNAcentral